RNAcentral lists this ribosomal RNA (206 nucleotides) under Salmonella enterica subsp. enterica serovar Derby. RNAcentral describes it as "partial 23S ribosomal RNA". It matches the Rfam family "Bacterial large subunit ribosomal RNA", at positions 588 to 796 of the family's 2925-position model. Lineage: Bacteria; Pseudomonadati; Pseudomonadota; Gammaproteobacteria; Enterobacterales; Enterobacteriaceae. The record is from RNAcentral.
ACCCUGUGACUGCGUACCUUUUGUAUAAUGGGUCAGCGACUUAUAUUCUGUAGCAAGGUUAACCGUAUAGGGGAGCCGGAGGGAAACCGAGUCUUAACCGGGCGUUAAGUUGCAGGGUAUAGACCCGAAACCCGGUGAUCUAGCCAUGGGCAGGUUGAAGGUUGGGUAACACUAACUGGAGGACCGAACCGACUAAUGUUGAAAAA